RNAcentral lists this transfer RNA (61 nucleotides) under Camelus bactrianus (Bactrian camel). It matches the Rfam family "tRNA", at positions 6 to 65 of the family's 71-position model. Rfam says of the family: Transfer RNA (tRNA) molecules are approximately 80 nucleotides in length. RNAcentral also lists the same sequence under 1 other name. Lineage: Eukaryota; Metazoa; Chordata; Mammalia; Artiodactyla; Camelidae. The record is from Rfam by way of RNAcentral.
UAUAGCUCAGUGGUAGAGUGCGUGCUUAGCAUGCAUGAGGUCCUGGGUUCAAUCCUCAGUA